CAUGCAAGUCGAACGAGUUCUCGUUGAUGAUCGGUGCUUGCACCGAGAUUCAACAUGGAACGAGUGGCGGACGGGUGAGUAACACGUGGGUAACCUGCCCUUAAGUGGGGGAUAACAUUUGGAAACAGAUGCUAAUACCGCAUAGAUCCAAGAACCGCAUGGUUCUUGGCUGAAAGAUGGCGUAAGCUAUCGCUUUUGGAUGGACCCGCGGCGUAUUAGCUAGUUGGUGAGGUAAUGGCUCACCAAGGCGAUGAUACGUAGCCGAACUGAGAGGUUGAUCGGCCACAUUGGGACUGAGACACGGCCCAAACUCCUACGGGAGGCAGCAGUAGGGAAUCUUCCACAAUGGACGCAAGUCUGAUGGAGCAACGCCGCGUGAGUGAAGAAGGCUUUCGGGUCGUAAAACUCUGUUGUUGGAGAAGAAUGGUCGGCAGAGUAACUGUUGUCGGCGUGACGGUAUCCAACCAGAAAGCCACGGCUAACUACGUGCCAGCAGCCGCGGUAAUACGUAGGUGGCAAGCGUUAUCCGGAUUUAUUGGGCGUAAAGCGAGCGCAGGCGGUUUUUUAAGUCUGAUGUGAAAGCCCUCGGCUUAACCGAGGAAGCGCAUCGGAAACUGGGAAACUUGAGUGCAGAAGAGGACAGUGGAACUCCAUGUGUAGCGGUGAAAUGCGUAGAUAUAUGGAAGAACACCAGUGGCGAAGGCGGCUGUCUGGUCUGUAACUGACGC
Molecule: ribosomal RNA, 728 nt
Filed under: Lactobacillus casei group sp.
Lineage: Bacteria; Bacillati; Bacillota; Bacilli; Lactobacillales; Lactobacillaceae
Description: bacterial SSU rRNA
Rfam family: Bacterial small subunit ribosomal RNA
Source: RNAcentral